Oncorhynchus keta (chum salmon) is the source of this 280-nucleotide long non-coding RNA. RefSeq lists it as uncharacterized. The transcript is spliced from 3 exons. The record is from RefSeq and is a predicted model, not a curated record. Lineage: Eukaryota; Metazoa; Chordata; Actinopteri; Salmoniformes; Salmonidae.
CUGGGGUUAAUCGGGGGGUUAGGGGUACUACUGACCUGGCUAUAGGAGAGGUGAGCCUGGGGUUAAUCUGGGGUUAGGGUUACUACUGACCUGGUUAUAGGAGAGGUGAGCCUGGGGUUAAUCUGGGGUUAGGGUUACUACUGACCUGGUUAUAGGAGAGGUGAGCCUGGGGUUAAUCGGGGGUUAGGGUUACUACUGACCUGGUUAUAGGAGAGGUGAGCCUGGGGUUAAUCUGGGGUUAGGGUUACUACUGACCUGGUUAUAGGAGAGGUGAGCCUGG